AUCUGAGCGUCUUAUUUUAAUAAGUCAAAAAUUUUCAACAACGGAUCUCUUGGUUCUGGCAUCGAUGAAGAACGCAGCGAAAUGCGAUAAGUAAUGUGAAUUGCAGAAUUCAGUGAAUCAUCGAAUCUUUGAACGCACAUUGCGCCCAUUAGUAUUCUAGUGGGCAUGCCUGUUCGAAGGGUCAUUUCAACCCUUAAGCCUA
Molecule: ribosomal RNA, 202 nt
Filed under: Discosia sp. FIHB 571
Lineage: Eukaryota; Fungi; Ascomycota; Sordariomycetes; Amphisphaeriales; Sporocadaceae
Description: 5.8S ribosomal RNA
Rfam family: 5.8S ribosomal RNA (bases 30-184)
About the family: 5.8S ribosomal RNA (5.8S rRNA) is a component of the large subunit of the eukaryotic ribosome. It is transcribed by RNA polymerase I as part of the 45S precursor that also contains 18S and 28S rRNA.
Source: RNAcentral